This 334-nucleotide ribosomal RNA is filed under the name Glomus sp. RNAcentral's name for it is "SSU rRNA". It matches the Rfam family "Eukaryotic small subunit ribosomal RNA", at positions 548 to 886 of the family's 1831-position model. Lineage: Eukaryota; Fungi; Glomeromycota; Glomeromycetes; Glomerales; Glomeraceae. The record is from RNAcentral.
UUGGAGGGCAAGUCUGGUGCCAGCAGCCGCGGUAAUUCCAGCUCCAAUAGCGUAUAUUAAAGUUGUUGCAGUUAAAAAGCUCGUAGUUGAAUUUCGAGAUCAAUUUUCUUGGUCAUACCUUUGUAUGUACUGGUCUAAUUGAUUUCUCCCUUCUGAUGAACCAUGAUGUCAUUAAUUUGGUGUUAUGGGGAAUCAGGACUAUUACUUUGAAAAAAUUAGAGUGUUUAAAGCAGGCUCACGCUUGAAUACAUUAGCAUGGAAUAAUGAAAUAGGACGUUUGAUUCUAUUUUGUUGGUUUCUAGGAUUGACGUAAUGAUUAAUAGGGAUAGUUGGG